Molecule: ribosomal RNA, 1159 nt
Filed under: uncultured bacterium
Lineage: Bacteria
Description: bacterial SSU rRNA
Rfam family: Bacterial small subunit ribosomal RNA
Source: RNAcentral
AGAGUUUGAUCCUGGCUCAGAACGAACGCUGGCGGCGUGGAUAAGACAUGCAAGUCGCACGGAGUGCCUUCGGGCACUGAGUGGCGCACGGGUGAGUAACACGUGAGUAACCUGCCCGUGAGACAGGGAUAGCCCCGGGAAACUGGGAUUAAUACCUGAUGGUCUCGCAAGAGUAAAGCAGCAAUGCGCUCAGGGAGGGGCUCGCGUCCUAUUAGUUAGUUGGCGGGGUAACGGCCCACCAAGGCGAUGACGGGUAGCCGGUCUGAGAGGAUGUCCGGCCACACUGGAACUGAGACACGGUCCAGACACCUACGGGUGGCAGCAGUCGAGAAUCAUUCACAAUGGGCGAAAGCCUGAUGGUGCGACGCCGCGUGGGGGAGGAAGGUCUUCGGAUUGUAAACCCCUGUCAUGUGGGAGCAAGACUUCGGUUUGAUAGUACCACAAGAGGAAGAGACGGCAAACUCUGUGCCAGCAGCCGCGGUAAUACAGAGGUCUCAAGCGUUGUUCGGAAUCACUGGGCGUAAAGGGUACGUAGGCGGCAUCAUAAGUCGUGCGUGAAAGGCAGGGGCUCAACCUCCGGAGUGCGCGUGAUACUGUGAUGCUGGAGUAAUGGAGGGGGAACCGGAAUUCUUGGUGUAGCAGUGAAAUGCGUAGAUAUCAAGAAGAAGACUCGUGGCGAAGGCGGGUUCCUGGACAUUUACUGACGCUGAGGUACGAAGGCCAGGGUAGCGAAAGGGAUUAGAUACCCCUGUAGUCCUGGCAGUAAACGGUGCACGUUUGGUGUGCGGAGAUUCGACCCUCUGCGUGCCGGAGUUAACACGUUAAACGUGCCGCCUGGGGAGUACGGUCGCAAGAUUAAAACUCAAAGAAAUUGACGGGGACCCGCACAAGCGGUGGAGUAUGUGGCUUAAUUCGAUGCAACGCGAAGAACCUUACCAAGGCUUGACAUCCCGUGACCGUCUGUGAAAGCAGAUUUUCUAUUCGUAGACACGGAGACAGGUGCUGCAUGGCCGUCGUCAGCUCGUGUCGUGAGAUGUUUGGUUAAGUCCAGCAACGAGCGCAACCCCUGCUGCCAGUUACCAUCAUUAAGUUGGGGACUCUGGCGGGACUGCCCAGAUCAACUGGGAGGAAGGUGGGGACGACGUCAGGUCAGUAUGGC